RNAcentral lists this ribosomal RNA (484 nucleotides) under uncultured bacterium. RNAcentral describes it as "partial 16S ribosomal RNA". It matches the Rfam family "Bacterial small subunit ribosomal RNA", at positions 30 to 507 of the family's 1533-position model. The record is from RNAcentral.
AUUGAACGCUGGCGGCAGGCCUAACACAUGCAAGUCGAGCGGAUGAAGGGAGCUUGCUCCUGGAUUCAGCGGCGGACGGGUGAGUAAUGCCUAGGAAUCUGCCUGGUAGUGGGGGAUAACGUCCGGAAACGGGCGCUAAUACCGCAUACGUCCUGAGGGAGAAAGUGGGGGAUCUUCGGACCUCACGCUAUCAGAUGAGCCUAGGUCGGAUUAGCUAGUUGGUGGGGUAAAGGCCUACCAAGGCGACGAUCCGUAACUGGUCUGAGAGGAUGAUCAGUCACACUGGAACUGAGACACGGUCCAGACUCCUACGGGAGGCAGCAGUGGGGAAUGUUGGACAAUGGGCGAGAGCCUGAUCCAGCCAUGCCGCGUGUGUGAAGAAGGUCUUCGGAUUGUAAAGCACUUUAAGUUGGGAGGAAGGGCAGUAAGUUAAUACCUUGCUGUUUUGACGGUACCAACAGAAUAAGCACCGGCUAACUUCGUG